UACGGAAGGCAGCAGUGGGGAAUAUUGCACAAUGGGCGCAAGCCUGAUGCAGCCAUGCCGCGUGUAUGAAAAAGGCCUUCGGGUUGUAAAGUACUUUCAAUCGUGAGGAAGGUGUUAAGGUUAAUAACCUUAGCAAUUGACGUUAGCGACAGAAGAAGCACCGGCUAACUCCGUGCCAGCAGCCGCGGUAAUACGGAGGGUGCGAGCGUUAAUCGGAAUUACUGGGCGUAAAGGGCACGCAGGCGGUUAAUUAAGUUGGAUGUGAAAUCCCCGGGCUUAACCUGGGAAUGGCAUUCAAGACUGGUUAGCUAGAGUCUUGUAGAGGGGGUAGAAUUCCAUGUGUAGCGGUGAAAUGCGUAGAGAUGUGGAGGAAUACCGGUGGCGAAGGCGGCCCCGUGGACAAAGACUGACGCUCAUGUGCGAAAGCGUGGGGAGCGAAACGAGGGAUUAGAUACC
Molecule: ribosomal RNA, 456 nt
Filed under: uncultured bacterium
Lineage: Bacteria
Description: bacterial SSU rRNA
Rfam family: Bacterial small subunit ribosomal RNA
Source: RNAcentral